RNAcentral lists this ribosomal RNA (364 nucleotides) under uncultured eukaryote. RNAcentral describes it as "SSU rRNA". It matches the Rfam family "Eukaryotic small subunit ribosomal RNA", at positions 587 to 972 of the family's 1831-position model. The record is from RNAcentral.
AGCUCCAAUAGCGUAUAUUAAAGUUGUUGCAGUUAAAACGCUCGUAGUUGAACUUCUGCUGUGGCGACCUUGCGCUGCUAAGCUGCGCACGUGUUGGUACAGCAUUCUCUGUUGUUCUACACUUUUCUGUGUGGUGCGAUGGAGGCUUUACUUUGAGAAAAAUAGAGUGUUUCAAGCAGGCAAUGCCUUGAAUACUGCAGCAUGGAAUAAUGAUAUAAACCUGCAUCUUUAUUUCGUUGGUUUUGAAGGAUGAGUGAUGAUUAAUAGGGAUAGUUGGGGGCAUUUGUAUUCGACUGUCAGAGGUGAAAUUCUUAGAUUUGUCGAAGACAGACAACUGCGAAAGCAUUUGCCAAGGAUAUUCUCA